Molecule: ribosomal RNA, 197 nt
Filed under: Bacillus anthracis (anthrax bacterium)
Lineage: Bacteria; Bacillati; Bacillota; Bacilli; Caryophanales; Bacillaceae
Description: partial 23S ribosomal RNA
Rfam family: Bacterial large subunit ribosomal RNA
Source: RNAcentral
UUUGGUUAAGUUAGAAAGGGCGCACGGUGGAUGCCUUGACACUAGGAGUCGAUGAAGGACGGGACUAACGCCGAUAUGCUUCGGGGAGCUGUAAGUAAGCUUUGAUCCGAAGAUUUCCGAAUGGGGAAACCCACCAUACGUAAUGGUAUGGUAUCCUUAUCUGAAUACAUAGGGUAAGGAAGACAGACCCAGGGAAC